CCUAAUAAAUUGCCUACAAUCUGCUUGGUGUCUAAUCAAAGAGAUCAGAGGAAGAUGUAUGUAUAUAAAUGAUGCAUAAGACAAUGCCUGAUUAAAAUGAUGAUCAGACAUAAUAAGUCACAUCAUGAAUCUGACAAAUUUUCAACAGAGACAAUCAAUUAUCUUUUUCAACCAGCAAGUUCAGGCUUUCCUGGUAAUAUUUUCCUUAAAAUUUCAUUGGCACACCGAUGUCAAUCUCUUAUGUGCCAGGAUCUUGAUGUAAGGAGAUUUUAUUGCUAAAAUUGCAUCUCCUUACACCUGGCCUGCUCAUGAAUCAAGUCACAAGAGCGGAGUUAUCUUGAUAUAUGACUGAGUGAAAGGAGCCUGGAAAUUGGAGGUGCAGAAACAAGUACUACCAACAGUAAACGGAGCAUAAAACAAGAAGGUAUGUGGAGAAACAG
Long non-coding RNA from Ochotona princeps (American pika), 440 nucleotides. RefSeq lists it as uncharacterized. The transcript has 3 exons. The record is from RefSeq and is a predicted model, not a curated record. NCBI's taxonomy places the organism in Eukaryota, Metazoa, Chordata, Mammalia, Lagomorpha, Ochotonidae.